Molecule: ribosomal RNA, 179 nt
Filed under: uncultured eukaryote
Lineage: Eukaryota
Description: partial 18S ribosomal RNA
Source: RNAcentral
UCGUAUAGUGAUAAGUCUCGUUAAUUCAGUAAAACGAGCGCGAUCUCAAUGUCAUAAAGAUUUAAACUUUUCUUUUUGGAUUGUUUUUUUCUUCAUUAGAACUUAAAGUUCUUUGGAAUUGACAGACCGCUGUUGUAAGGUUAAAUUCCUGUAAACAAAGGAGGGGUGAGGCGAGAAUA